This 440-nucleotide ribosomal RNA is filed under the name uncultured bacterium. RNAcentral describes it as "bacterial SSU rRNA". It matches the Rfam family "Bacterial small subunit ribosomal RNA", at positions 338 to 795 of the family's 1533-position model. The record is from RNAcentral.
CCUACGGGAGGCAGCAGUGGGGAAUAUUGCACAAUGGGCGAAAGCCUGAUGCAGCCAUGCCGCGUGAGUGAAGAAGGCCUUAGGGUUGUAAAGCUCUUUCAGCGGGGAAGAUAAUGACGGUACCCGCAGAAGAAGCCCCGGCUAACUCCGUGCCAGCAGCCGCGGUAAUACGGAGGGGGCUAGCGUUGUUCGGAAUUACUGGGCGUAAAGCGCGCGUAGGCGGAUCGGUAAGUCAGGGGUGAAAGCCCGAGGCUCAACCUCGGAAUUGCCUCUUAUACUGCCAAUCUCGAGUCCGGGAGAGGUGAGUGGAAUUCCUAGUGUAGAGGUGAAAUUCGUAGAUAUUAGGAAGAACACCAGUGGCGAAGGCGGCUCACUGGCCCGGUACUGACGCUGAGACGCGAAAGCGUGGGGAGCAAACAGGAUUAGAUACCCCAGUAGUC